Molecule: ribosomal RNA, 332 nt
Filed under: uncultured Bacteroidota bacterium
Lineage: Bacteria; Pseudomonadati; Bacteroidota
Description: uncultured Bacteroidetes bacterium partial 16S ribosomal RNA
Rfam family: Bacterial small subunit ribosomal RNA
Source: RNAcentral
CGUUUCCGGAUUUAUUGGGUUUAAAGGGUCCGYAGGCGGAUCUUUAAGUCAGUGGUGAAAGCCUGCAGCUCAACUGUAGAACUGCCAUUGAUACUGGUAUUCCUUGAGUGUAGAUAGAAGURGGCGGAAUAYGUCAUGUAGCGGUGAAAUGCAUAGAUAUGMCUUAGAACACCGAUUGCGAAGGCAGCUUACUAURYYAYUACUGACGCUGCAUGCACGAAAGCGAUGGGGAGCGAACAGGAUUAGAUACCCUGGUAGUCCACGCCGUAAACGUAUGAUUACUCAGMUGUUDGCGAUAUACWGUUAGCGGCYAAGCGAAAGCGUUAAGUAAU